UCAGUAGCAGCGGCAGCCGCACAUCAGCAGCUUGCUCUGUUCCAUCCGGCAGCAAUGGCGGCCUCCACCACAAUGGCGCUCUCCUCCCCCGCGAUCAAGCUCGCCGGAGCCUCGUACGCGCUCGGCGGCGGCCGCGUCACCAUGCGCAAGGCCGCGCCCAAGGCCGCCGCCUCCAACAGCCCCUGGUACGGCCCCGACCGCGUGCUCUACCUCGGCCCGCUCUCUGGCGAGCCCCCGAGCUACCUCAGCGGCGAGUUCCCGGGCGACUACGGGUGGGACACCGCGGGCCUCUCCGCCGACCCGGAGACCUUCGCCAAGAACCGCGAGCUCGAGGUGAUCCACUGCCGCUGGGCCAUGCUCGGCGCGCUCGGCUGCGUCUUCCCCGAGCUGCUCGCCCGCAACGGCGUCAAGUUCGGCGAGGCCGUCUGGUUCAAGGCCGGCUCCCAGAUCUUCAGCGAGGGCGGCCUCGACUACCUCGGUAACCCUAGCUUGGUCCACGCUCAGAGCAUCCUUGCCAUCUGGGCUUGCCAGGUCGUGCUCAUGGGCGCUGUCGAGGGGUACCGCGUUGCUGGUGGCCCGCUCGGAGAGAUCGUCGACCCACUCUACCCCGGUGGCAGCUUCGACCCCCUUGGCCUAGCUGACGAUCCAGAGGCGUUUGCCGAGCUCAAGGUGAAGGAGAUCAAGAACGGCCGCCUUGCAAUGUUCUCCAUGUUUGGAUACUUUGUGCAGGCCAUCGUCACCGGUAAGGGUCCGCUUGAGAACCUCGCUGACCACCUCGCCGACCCCGUCAACAACAACGCGUGGGCCUUCGCCACCAACUUUGUGCCCGGCAAGUAAACACAUGAGAAUCGACUUCUCAGGAGUAUAUGUGUGCUCUGGAUGUAUGAUUAAUAUCUGAUCGUUGAUGUUGUACACUAUCAAAGAUGUUUACAAAUAGCGCCCAUCUGGAACAUGAAAUGUCUAUAUGAGAAAUGCAUGGUUUUCAUUUUCCAUAUGAAUACGAGUGGACAUUAAUUGUUUGGGUUUGCUAAACAUCAAGUACUUGAUUUUUUU
RNAcentral lists this long non-coding RNA (1053 nucleotides) under Triticum aestivum (bread wheat). RNAcentral's name for it is "long non-coding RNA (TAES_LNC014639)". Lineage: Eukaryota; Viridiplantae; Streptophyta; Magnoliopsida; Poales; Poaceae. The record is from RNAcentral.